Molecule: ribosomal RNA, 295 nt
Filed under: uncultured Bacillus sp.
Lineage: Bacteria; Bacillati; Bacillota; Bacilli; Caryophanales; Bacillaceae
Description: partial 16S ribosomal RNA
Rfam family: Bacterial small subunit ribosomal RNA
Source: RNAcentral
CAAGCGUUAUCCGGAAUUAUUGGGCGUAAAGCGCGCGCAGGUGGUUUCUUAAGUCUGAUGUGAAAGCCCACGGCUCAACCGUGGAGGGUCAUUGGAAACUGGGAGACUUGAGUGCAGAAGAGGAAAGUGGAAUUCCAUGUGUAGCGGUGAAAUGCGUAGAGAUAUGGAGGAACACCAGUGGCGAAGGCGACUUUCUGGUCUGUAACUGACACUGAGGCGCGAAAGCGUGGGGAGCAAACAGGAUUAGAUACCCUGGUAGUUCACGCCGUAAACGAUGAGUGCUAAGUGUUAGAGG